GUAAAAUUGUUUAUCAGGUGAAGAUCUAUCUGCCCUGAAAUUUUCAGAUGAAUCAGACAACCCCUUGUUUGGUUGCUGCCCCUGAAUUGGUAAUUCUAAGGAAAUUUUGCUGUUUUUGGUUAUUAUCUUGAUUAUUAUUAUAGUUAGAGAUAAACUGUAAACAGCAAUAAUGUUCAGCAAAGUAAGAUUUACAAAUAAGUCAACAUGACCGAAAUGGUCAAUUGACCCCCUAAGCAUUUCUAAGGAGUAAUUGUCCUUUAUAGUCAAUUUUUAACAAUUUUCAUAAAAUUUGUAAAUUUUUACUAACAUUUUCCACUGAAACUACUGGGCCAAGUUCAUUAUAGAUAGAGAUAAUUGUAAGCAGCAAGAAUGUUCAGUAAAGUAAGAUGUACAAACACAUCACCAUCACCAAAACACAAUUUUGUCAUGAAUCCAUCUGCUUCCUUUGUUUAAUAUUCACAUAGACCAAGGUGAGUGACACAGGCUCUUUAGAGCCUCUAGUUU
This 504-nucleotide long non-coding RNA is filed under the name Mytilus galloprovincialis (Mediterranean mussel). The record is from RNAcentral. Lineage: Eukaryota; Metazoa; Mollusca; Bivalvia; Mytilida; Mytilidae.